GAGGGUGAUCGGCCACAUUGGAACUGAGACACGGUCCAAACUCCUACGGGAGGCAGCAGUGGGGAAUAUUGCACAAUGGGCGAAAGCCUGAUGCAGCAACGCCGCGUGAGUGAUGAAGGCCUUCGGGUCGUAAAACUCUGUCCUCAAGGAAGAUAAUGACGGUACUUGAGGAGGAAGCCCCGGCUAACUACGGGCCAGCAGCCGCGGUAAUACGUAGGGGGCUAGCGUUAUCCGGAUUUACUGGGCGUAAAGGGUGCGUAGGCGGUCUUUCAAGUCAGGAGUGAAAGGCUACGGCUCAACCGUAGUAAGCUCUUGAAACUGGGAGACUUGAGUGCAGGAGAGGAGAGUGGAAUUCCUAGUGUAGCGGUGAAAUGCGUAGAUAUUAGGAGGAACACCAGUU
RNAcentral lists this ribosomal RNA (400 nucleotides) under Clostridioides difficile. Its description in RNAcentral is "bacterial SSU rRNA". It matches the Rfam family "Bacterial small subunit ribosomal RNA", at positions 296 to 714 of the family's 1533-position model. The record is from RNAcentral. Lineage: Bacteria; Bacillati; Bacillota; Clostridia; Peptostreptococcales; Peptostreptococcaceae.